This 499-nucleotide ribosomal RNA is filed under the name uncultured bacterium. RNAcentral describes it as "partial 16S ribosomal RNA". It matches the Rfam family "Bacterial small subunit ribosomal RNA", at positions 899 to 1397 of the family's 1533-position model. The record is from RNAcentral.
ACUCAAAUGAAUUGACGGGGGCCCGCACAAGCGGUGGAGCAUGUGGUUUAAUUCGAUGCAACGCGAAGAACCUUACCUACCCUUGACAUUUAGUGAACGUGGCAGAGAUGCUAUGGUGCCUUCGGGAACACUAGGACAGGUGCUGCAUGGCUGUCGUCAGCUCGUGUCGUGAGAUGUUGGGUUAAGUCCCGUAACGAGCGCAACCCUUAUUCUUAGUUGCCAGCGCGUAGAGGCGGGAACUCUAAGGAGACUGCCGGUGACAAACCGGAGGAAGGCGGGGAUGACGUCAAGUCAUCAUGGCCCUUAUGGGUAGGGCUACACACGUGCUACAAUGGCCGGUACAGAGGGAAGCGAAGGGGUGACCUGGAGCGAAUCUUGAAAAGCUGGUCGUAGUCCGGAUUGGAGUCUGCAACUCGACUCCAUGAAGUUGGAAUCGCUAGUAAUCGCGAAUCAGCAUGUCGCGGUGAAUACGUUCCCGGGCCUUGUACACACCGCCCGU